RNAcentral lists this ribosomal RNA (779 nucleotides) under Pediococcus pentosaceus. Its description in RNAcentral is "bacterial SSU rRNA". It matches the Rfam family "Bacterial small subunit ribosomal RNA", at positions 52 to 786 of the family's 1533-position model. The record is from RNAcentral. Lineage: Bacteria; Bacillati; Bacillota; Bacilli; Lactobacillales; Lactobacillaceae.
UACAUGCAAGUCGAACGAACUUCCGUUAAUUGAUUAUGACGUACUUGUACUGAUUGAGAUUUUAACACGAAGUGAGUGGCGAACGGGUGAGUAACACGUGGGUAACCUGCCCAGAAGUAGGGGAUAACACCUGGAAACAGAUGCUAAUACCGUAUAACAGAGAAAACCGCAUGGUUUUCUUUUAAAAGAUGGCUCUGCUAUCACUUCUGGAUGGACCCGCGGCGUAUUAGCUAGUUGGUGAGGUAAAGGCUCACCAAGGCAGUGAUACGUAGCCGACCUGAGAGGGUAAUCGGCCACAUUGGGACUGAGACACGGCCCAGACUCCUACGGGAGGCAGCAGUAGGGAAUCUUCCACAAUGGACGCAAGUCUGAUGGAGCAACGCCGCGUGAGUGAAGAAGGGUUUCGGCUCGUAAAGCUCUGUUGUUAAAGAAGAACGUGGGUAAGAGUAACUGUUUACCCAGUGACGGUAUUUAACCAGAAAGCCACGGCUAACUACGUGCCAGCAGCCGCGGUAAUACGUAGGUGGCAAGCGUUAUCCGGAUUUAUUGGGCGUAAAGCGAGCGCAGGCGGUCUUUUAAGUCUAAUGUGAAAGCCUUCGGCUCAACCGAAGAAGUGCAUUGGAAACUGGGAGACUUGAGUGCAGAAGAGGACAGUGGAACUCCAUGUGUAGCGGUGAAAUGCGUAGAUAUAUGGAAGAACACCAGUGGCGAAGGCGGCUGUCUGGUCUGCAACUGACGCUGAGGCUCGAAAGCAUGGGUAGCGAACAGGAUUAGAUACC